UACAGCACUCCACUCAGCACUUCUUAGGAC
RNAcentral lists this non-coding RNA (30 nucleotides) under Mus musculus (house mouse). The record is from RNAcentral. Lineage: Eukaryota; Metazoa; Chordata; Mammalia; Rodentia; Muridae.